RNAcentral lists this ribosomal RNA (468 nucleotides) under uncultured bacterium. Its description in RNAcentral is "partial 16S ribosomal RNA". It matches the Rfam family "Bacterial small subunit ribosomal RNA", at positions 28 to 507 of the family's 1533-position model. The record is from RNAcentral.
GACGAACGCUGGCGGCGUGCUUAACACAUGCAAGUCGAACGGAAAGGCCCUGCUUUUGUGGGGUGCUCGAGUGGCGAACGGGUGAGUAACACGUGAGUAACCUGCCCUUGACUUUGGGAUAACUUCAGGAAACUGGGGCUAAUACCGGAUAGGAGCUCCUGCUGCAUGGUGGGGGUUGGAAAGUUUCGGCGGUUGGGGAUGGACUCGCGGCUUAUCAGCUUGUUGGUGAGGUAGUGGCUUACCAAGGCUUUGACGGGUAGCCGGCCUGAGAGGGUGACCGGCCACAUUGGGACUGAGAGACGGCCCAGACUCCUACGGGAGGCAGCAGUGGGGAAUAUUGCACAAUGGGCGGAAGCCUGAUGCAGCAACGCCGCGUGCGGGAUGACGGCCUUCGGGUUGUAAACCGCUUUCGCCUGUGACGAAGCGUGAGUGACGGUAAUGGGUAAAGAAGCACCGGCUAACUACGUG